UCGUGGAUUAUUAGUCCCUAAAAAGAAAAAAAUUAAUGCAUAUCCACGCACCAUGCACGGAUCGAGGAGUUAGCGGCGAUUCAGCACCAUCACGAUGCAAGCAAAAGAAUGCGGCGGCGCACGCACGACGCUAUUGCCGGAUGUCAAUUUUCUCCUCAUCUCCUACAGUCUGCGUGGUUGCCGGUUGUGUAUCUGCGUGGUUGCCGGCUGUGUAUCUGUACCUUGUCCUCAUCCGUCCAGUGAGGCCACGACGCCGACCGGCGCGGCGGCGCCCAGCGAACUGCACCACAUCCCCGUCCGGACGUACACCAGAUGAGGAGGAAUAUGAGCGAUUCAAGUGAUUUGAAUGUGGUGGUGGUAUUUGCUGUGGAAAAGCAAACUAUUGUUAAUCAAGAGGAUGAAGGUCCUAUGGAAGAUAUGCUGCCAAAGUUGACACACAUGAAAUUAUUAGGUACUGAGUUGGGGACGGCACAAGCUCCAGCGGUGUGCAAGGGCUCAGAGUGGCCAUCUUCAAAGCACGUUGGUGACCAUGUCGGGGAGGGGAAGACAACAGCCCACUGCAUUUGACAAGGAGAAUUCAUUAAGGGGCGCUAGACUAAUACUUGCGCCUUCAGUGCCAGUCUCGAGAAUUCAUUCAACUUCAUCAAGCCGUGAGGCGCUUUAUCAGCAAAGAGAACGUUUGUAUAAAACACUCCAGUUUCUCCAAAACACCAUCCUUGAACAGGAUUUGUCAUUUUUUCAUAGUCAUCUAGGUUAGCCACCACACAAGUUUGAUCUUAGACCAAACAGCGUUAUUGAAGACCUGAUAAUUUCUAGUUUUCCAAAUGCACCACGGAGUACAAGCGCAAAUAGAAUUAAGAGCAUAAUGAUUUUUGUUAUGUAGCAAAAAUCUCGGCACCUGUAAAAAAUCAACA
Molecule: long non-coding RNA, 914 nt
Organism: Triticum aestivum (bread wheat)
Lineage: Eukaryota; Viridiplantae; Streptophyta; Magnoliopsida; Poales; Poaceae
Exons: 3
Source: RefSeq, a predicted model, not a curated record